GGCCACGUGGCGGAAUUGGUAGACGCGCUACCUUGAGGGGGUAGUGUCCUCUGGACGUGCUGGUUCGACUCCAGUCGUGGUCA
Molecule: transfer RNA, 83 nt
Organism: Robiginitalea biformata HTCC2501
Lineage: Bacteria; Pseudomonadati; Bacteroidota; Flavobacteriia; Flavobacteriales; Flavobacteriaceae
Rfam family: tRNA
About the family: Transfer RNA (tRNA) molecules are approximately 80 nucleotides in length. Their secondary structure includes four short double-helical elements and three loops (D, anti-codon, and T loops).
Source: Rfam